GGUCUCUCAGAGCUCCAUAGCUUGAUUCAGUCUUCACAUCCCUCAAGCAGAGACUCAGCAAUCUCACAGAAAAAGAAAAGAUAGAAAUGAUACUAUACAUAGGUAGUGUGUAGUGCACGUGUAUGGGGAUUCUCCUAAAAAGAAAUAGAAAUGCCAUGUGCUACACUAGAAUGAGAUGGAAAUUAAGCACGUGUUCAGACUUUCCCCGAGAAUGGAAUCGAUACAUCUUCUCUUGACACCCAAAUGCCUGAUUGGAGCGACUGAUGUUACGACAAAACGGUUCUUGUGGUUGCCUCCAACCAGAGCUUUCUGUGUAUUGAUUUUUCUCUUCAAGAAAAUACGAAAACUUCCAUACCAAACGCAGCGAGUUCUAAAGAGAUUAGGACAGAGAAAAUUCGAGUCUACACAAUG
Long non-coding RNA from Ostrea edulis (European flat oyster), 411 nucleotides. RefSeq lists it as uncharacterized. The transcript has 3 exons. The record is from RefSeq and is a predicted model, not a curated record. Lineage: Eukaryota; Metazoa; Mollusca; Bivalvia; Ostreida; Ostreidae.